GACGAACGCUGGCGGCGUGCUUAACACAUGCAAGUCGAACGAUGAUCAGGAGCUUGCUCCUGUGAUUAGUGGCGAACGGGUGAGUAACACGUGAGUAACCUGCCCCUGACUCUGGGAUAAGCGUUGGAAACGACGUCUAAUACUGGAUAUGAUCACUGGCCGCAUGGUCUGGUGGUGGAAAGAUUUUUUGGUUGGGGAUGGACUCGCGGCCUAUCAGCUUGUUGGUGAGGUAAUGGCUCACCAAGGCGACGACGGGUAGCCGGCCUGGGAGGGUGACCGGCCACACUGGGACUGAGACACGGCCCAGACUCCUACGGGAGGCAGCAGUGGGGAAUAUUGCACAAUGGGCGAAAGCCUGAUGCAGCAACGCCGCGUGAGGGAUGACGGCCUUCGGGUUGUAAACCUCUUUUAGUAGGGAAGAAGCGAAAGUGACGGUACCUGCAGAAAAAGCACCGGCUAACUACGUGCCAGCAGCCGCCGUAA
RNAcentral lists this ribosomal RNA (483 nucleotides) under uncultured bacterium. RNAcentral describes it as "partial 16S ribosomal RNA". It matches the Rfam family "Bacterial small subunit ribosomal RNA", at positions 28 to 523 of the family's 1533-position model. The record is from RNAcentral.